This 47-nucleotide non-coding RNA is filed under the name Pelobates cultripes (western spadefoot toad). It matches the Rfam family "Histone 3' UTR stem-loop". Rfam says of the family: The mRNAs of metazoan histone genes lack a poly-A tail. 3' end processing occurs at a site between a highly conserved stem-loop (modelled by this family) and a purine rich region around 20 nts downstream (the histone downstream element, or HDE). The record is from RNAcentral. Lineage: Eukaryota; Metazoa; Chordata; Amphibia; Anura; Pelobatidae.
CCAAAGGCUCUUUUCAGAGCCAUUAACCUCUAUCUUACUAUUACUAU